GAUGAACGCUGGCGGCGUGCCUAAUACAUGCAAGUCGAGCGAACAGACGAGGAGCUUGCUCCUCUGACGUUAGCGGCGCACGGGUGUGAAACACGUGGAUAACCUACCUAUAUGUCUGGGAAAACUUCGGGACACCGGCGCUUAUCCCGGAUGACAUGCUGCACCGCAGGGGUCAACGGUGAAAUACGGUGUUGGUGUCUCUUAUAGAUGGAUCCGGGCCGGAUGAGCUAGUUGGUAAGGUCACGGGUUACCAAGGCAACCAUGCGUAGCCGACCUGAGGGGGGGAUCGGCCACACGGGAACUGAGACACGGUCCAUGCUCCUGCGAGAGGCAGCAGUAGGGAAUCUUCCGCAGUGGGCGAAAGCCUGACGGAGCAACGCCGCGUGAGUGAAGAAGGUCUUCGGAUCGUAAAACUCUGUUAUUAGGGAAGAACAAAUGUGUAAGUAACUAUGCACGUCGUGACGGUACCUAAUCAGAAAGCCACGGCUAACUACGUG
RNAcentral lists this ribosomal RNA (497 nucleotides) under uncultured bacterium. Its description in RNAcentral is "partial 16S ribosomal RNA". It matches the Rfam family "Bacterial small subunit ribosomal RNA", at positions 28 to 507 of the family's 1533-position model. The record is from RNAcentral.